AACGAACGCUGGCGGCAGGCCUAACACAUGCAAGUCGAACGAAGUCUUCGGACUUAGUGGCGCACGGGUGAGUAACGCGUGGGAAUAUACCUUACGCUGGGGGAUAACAUCGGGAAACUGAUGCUAAUACCGCAUACGCCCUUCGGGGGAAAGAUUUAUCGGCGAAAGAUUAGCCCGCGUCCGAUUAGCUAGUUGGUGAGGUAAUGGCUCACCAAGGCUCCGAUCGGUAGCUGGUCUGAGAGGAUGACCAGCCACACUGGGACUGAGACACGGCCCAGACUCCUACGGGAGGCAGCAGUGGGGAAUAUUGGACAAUGGGCGCAAGCCUGAUCCAGCCAUGCCGCGUGAGUGAUGAAGGCCUUAGGGUUGUAAAGCUCUUUCACCCACGACGAUGAUGACGGUAGUGGGAGAAGAAGCCCCGGCUAACUUCGUG
This 433-nucleotide ribosomal RNA is filed under the name uncultured bacterium. RNAcentral describes it as "partial 16S ribosomal RNA". It matches the Rfam family "Bacterial small subunit ribosomal RNA", at positions 29 to 507 of the family's 1533-position model. The record is from RNAcentral.